CCUACGGGAGGCAGCAGUGGGGAAUAUUGCACAAUGGGCGCAAGCCUGAUGCAGCGACGCCGCGUGGGGGAUGACGGCCUUCGGGUUGUAAACCCCUUUCAGCACAGACGAAGCGCAAGUGACGGUAUGUGCAGAAGAAGGACCGGCCAACUACGUGCCAGCAGCCGCGGUAAUACGUAGGGUCCGAGCGUUGUCCGGAAUUACUGGGCGUAAAGAGCUCGUAGGUGGUUUGUCGCGUUGUUCGUGAAAACUCACAGCUCAACUGUGGGCGUGCGGGCGAUACGGGCAGACUGGAGUACUGCAGGGGAGACUGGAAUUCCUGGUGUAGCGGUGGAAUGCGCAGAUAUCAGGAGGAACACCGGUGGCGAAGGCGGGUCUCUGGGCAGUAACUGACGCUGAGGAGCGAAAGCGUGGGGAGCGAACAGGAUUAGAUACCCUGGUAGUCCACGCCGUAAACGGUGGGUACUAGGUGUGGGUUUCCUUCCUUGGGAUCCGUGCCGUAGCUAACGCAUUAAGUACCCCGCCUGGGGAGUACGGCCGCAAGGCUAAAACUCAAAGAAAUUGACGGGGGCCCGCACAAGCGGCGGAGCAUGUGGAUUAAUUCGAUGCAACGCGAAGAACCUUACCUGGGUUUGACAUGCACAGGACGUGCCUAGAGAUAGGUAUUCCCUUGUGGUCUGUGUGCAGGUGGUGCAUGGCUGUCGUCAGCUCGUGUCGUGAGAUGUUGGGUUAAGUCCCGCAACGAGCGCAACCCUUGUCUUAUGUUGCCAGCACGUAAUGGUGGGGACUCGUAAGAGACUGCCGGGGUCAACUCGGAGGAGGGGGGGGAUGACGUCAAGUCAUCAUGCCCCUUAUGUCCAGGGCUUCACACAUGCUACAAUGGCCGGUACAAAGGGCUGCGAUGCCGUGAAGUGAGCGAAUCCUUUCAAAGCCGUCUCAGUUCGGAUCGGGUCUGCACUCGACUCGUGAAGUCGGAGUCGCUAGUAAUCGCAGAAUCAGCACGCCGCGUGAAUACGUUCCCGGG
RNAcentral lists this ribosomal RNA (1024 nucleotides) under uncultured bacterium. RNAcentral's name for it is "bacterial SSU rRNA". It matches the Rfam family "Bacterial small subunit ribosomal RNA", at positions 338 to 1378 of the family's 1533-position model. The record is from RNAcentral.